AAGCCCUUUCCUUCAAAAAACAGAGAGAACUCUCCCAAAUGCUUCCCCCCAUCCGGUCAGAGGGCGCCACCAUGGCUCCACCGCAGCCACCGAGCGCCGGCGCCGUUGACCGCCGAAUGAGGUUGCCGGAUUCCAUCGGAGAAAGGCCAUUUUGGCCAUUUCUCCUCCCUUAGUCCGUUUCUUGAGAUGAAAAAUCCAAAAAAGCAAAGAAAAAUAAUAAAAAAAACCCUUCCCCUUUUAAGCCCGAUUCCGACGACGGCGAAGGGACUUCCGUCGACGGAGCCACGGGGCGAAUCGGGUACGUUUCUCUUUUCCUUUCUUAUCCUUUCUUUUAUUACUAGUUUUAAAAUCAGAUUUUUUAAAAAGAAAUUUGAUAAAUAAAAUAAGUAAAUAAUUCGAAAAAAGAAUCGGAGAAGACAACAACCUUUGUUUCUAUUUCUGAAAUUCGUACAAAAAAAUGCCCAGAAGAACAUUACAGAGAUUGAGUCUAGGCUUUUAUAGCCGAACUAAAAGCUAAUAAUCGCUGUGAUUUCUUUUGUCUUUUUCUUUCUGUUUUUUUUCUUUUCUGUUUGCUGCUUUCUUUUGUUUUUCUCUUGUUGUCUUUUCUUGCAGAAGGGAGGGCCAACGAUAGGCCAGCAGCGACGGCAGUGUCAGAGGCGUGAUAGUGGCGUGCGGCGGCGCGAAGGGCACGCGAGGAGACCACGUGCGGUGCUGCGGCUGGGGCAGCAGCAUGCGGCGCCCUAGGGUUUCUUGCUGAAACUUUUUCUGAUUUUGUUGGGCUUGUUGGGCUAGGAUUUUUAGGGUUAGGUUUGGGCUUGUUUCUGUUUGCCUGGGCCCGGGCAAAAAUGGGCCACUACAAUAAAUAUUUUAUCUAUGUAAUUAUUUUAUAAAUAAAAUUUUGAGUUUAGAUGAGAUUGAAGAAGAAUUCCUACUAAUGUAUAAAAUAGCAGACGUUUACACAUAAAUAAAUAUUGGUCUACAUCUCACAUAGUAAUUUUAGGAGAUUCUUGUCUAUUUAUCUUCAUAGCCAUUCCAGGGCAGCAAACGAAAGCAAAUUAUCCUUUGAAAUAUUACACAACUUGCAUUACGCACAGUCUUGUGUCUGUUUAAUUCUUAUUCACUAUUAUUACAUGACAUGUCCACAG
This 1145-nucleotide long non-coding RNA is filed under the name Gossypium raimondii (Peruvian cotton). RNAcentral's name for it is "long non-coding RNA (GRAI_LNC000902)". The record is from RNAcentral. Lineage: Eukaryota; Viridiplantae; Streptophyta; Magnoliopsida; Malvales; Malvaceae.